CCUACGGGAGGCAGCAGUGGGGAAUUUUGGACAAUGGGCGCAAGCCUGAUCCAGCUAUUCCGCGUGUGGGAUGAAGGCCCUCGGGUUGUAAACCACUUUUGUAGAGAACGAAAAGACACCUUUUAAUAAAGGGUGUUGCUGACGGUACUCUCAGAAUAAGCACCGGCUCACUACGUGCCAGCAGCCGCGGUAAUACGUAGGGUGCGAGCGUUAAUCGGAAUUACUGGGCGUAAAGGGUGCGCAGGCGGUUGAGUAAGACAGAUGUGAAAUCCCCGGGUGUAACUCGGGAAUGGCAUAUGUGACUGCUCGACUAGAGUGUGUCAGAGUGAGGUGGAAUUCCACGUGUAGCAGUGAAAUGCGUAGAUAUGUGGAAGAACCCCGAUUGCGAAGGCAGCUUGCUGCAGCGGAACUGACGCUGAUGCUCGAAAGCGCGGGUAUCGAACAGGAUUAGAUACCCCUGUAGUC
Molecule: ribosomal RNA, 465 nt
Filed under: uncultured bacterium
Lineage: Bacteria
Description: partial 16S ribosomal RNA
Rfam family: Bacterial small subunit ribosomal RNA
Source: RNAcentral